GGGUCAGUAGGUUGGUCGUGCCACCGGUACGUACUGGUCUCACUGAUCCCUCCUUCCUGAAUAACCGUAAUGCCAUUAAUUUGGUGUUGCGGGGAAACAGGACUGUUACUUUGAAAAAAUUAGAGUGUUUAAUGCAAGCUAACGCUUGAAUACAUUAGCAUGGAAUAAUGAAAUAGGACGAUCGAUCCUAUUUUGUUGGUUUCUAGGAUUGACGUA
Molecule: ribosomal RNA, 216 nt
Filed under: Glomeromycotina sp.
Lineage: Eukaryota; Fungi; Glomeromycota
Description: partial small subunit ribosomal RNA
Rfam family: Eukaryotic small subunit ribosomal RNA (bases 54-216)
Source: RNAcentral